RNAcentral lists this ribosomal RNA (468 nucleotides) under uncultured bacterium. RNAcentral describes it as "partial 16S ribosomal RNA". It matches the Rfam family "Bacterial small subunit ribosomal RNA", at positions 28 to 507 of the family's 1533-position model. The record is from RNAcentral.
GACGAACGCUGGCGGCGUGCUUAACACAUGCAAGUCGAACGGAAAGGCCCUGCUUUUGUGGGGUGCUCGAGUGGCGAACGGGUGAGUAACACGUGAGUAACCUGCCCUUGACUUUGGGAUAACUUCAGGAAACUGGGGCUAAUACCGGAUAGGAGCUCCUGCUGCAUGGUGGGGGUUGGAAAGUUUCGGCGGUUGGGGAUGGACUCGCGGCUUAUCAGCUUGUUGGUGGGGUAGUGGCUUACCAAGGCUUUGACGGGUAGCCGGCCUGAGAGGGUGACCGGACACAUUGGGACUGAGCUACGGCCCAGACUACUACGGGACGCAGCAGUGGGGAAUAUUGCACAAUGGGCUGAAGCCUGAUGCAGCAACGCCGCGUGCGGGAUGACGGCCUUCGGGUUGUAAACCGCUUUCGCCUGUGACGAAGCGUGAGUGACGGUAAUGGGUAAAGAAGCACCGGCUAACUACGUG